CUUCAGCGAGCCGAGCCACAGCGGCCGGUCCCCCGCGCGGUCCUGCCCGUACGUGGCCAGCAGCGCCUGGGCCUC
RNAcentral lists this antisense RNA (75 nucleotides) under Streptomyces yokosukanensis. Its description in RNAcentral is "ASpks TB sRNA". It matches the Rfam family "ASpks TB sRNA". The record is from Rfam by way of RNAcentral. Lineage: Bacteria; Bacillati; Actinomycetota; Actinomycetes; Kitasatosporales; Streptomycetaceae.